ACACCGUUGGUGAAGUGGUUAUCAUGCUUGCCUUCCGUCGAUUCUGUUCAUCAAAGAUUAGCAAGCGGCUCGGGUUCAAUUCCCGCCCGGUGUA
Non-coding RNA from Paramarasmius palmivorus, 94 nucleotides. The record is from the annotation of a GenBank genome assembly. NCBI's taxonomy places the organism in Eukaryota, Fungi, Basidiomycota, Agaricomycetes, Agaricales, Marasmiaceae.